This 83-nucleotide transfer RNA is filed under the name Bacteriophage sp. RNAcentral's name for it is "tRNA-Tyr". It matches the Rfam family "tRNA". Rfam says of the family: Transfer RNA (tRNA) molecules are approximately 80 nucleotides in length. Their secondary structure includes four short double-helical elements and three loops (D, anti-codon, and T loops). RNAcentral also lists the same sequence under 1 other name. The record is from RNAcentral.
UGGAGUAUAAUCAGUAAUUGGUAGCUGGGGGGACUGUAAAUCCCUUCUCUCUGAGACUGGGGGUUCGAGUCCCUCUACUCCAA